Long non-coding RNA from Piliocolobus tephrosceles (Ugandan red Colobus), 1001 nucleotides. RefSeq lists it as uncharacterized. The record is from RefSeq and is a predicted model, not a curated record. NCBI's taxonomy places the organism in Eukaryota, Metazoa, Chordata, Mammalia, Primates, Cercopithecidae. The transcript has 2 exons.
AGCCAGGAGCGCCUCUAUCUCAGCUGCUCAGCCACCCUCUGGCUCCCUACCCAGCUCUUCCCUGGCUGGGCUGCAUUUAUCUCCCUGGGGCCCAUCUUUCUGCUUGGGGCCUUACAGAGCCCAGGACCCAUGCAGGGCCUGCCCAGGACAGCGGUAAUCCACAUUUGCUGGAUGAAUGGAAAACUGAGUUCCUGACUGACAGGUUUUUGAAGGGACAGCUUGGCAGGAGCUGCCAGCAUGGGUGUGAGGGCAGAGGCUCUGUAAGAGUUGCAGCUGGGCACCCGCACCUGCUCACACGCUCCCAUCCCCUCGGUGACCUCCCCUCUGAGCUGCCACCUCCUUACAUGCUCAGGCACUGGACACCCCAUUGGAGCCUGGCGUCUACUUUGCUCUGGUCCACAGUGAUACUCCAUGCUCAGCGUCCACACGCGUGGGGUGGGUACCCACAUGCACCUGGACGUCUCCCUCCAUCCUGCCUUCUGCUGGGAUUUUACUUUCUCCACCAAGACAUCAAUUCCUUACCGUGAGUGCUCGAGAAAUCAGCCUGCAAAGGAUGAGCAAGUGGAGAAAGGUGGAGAAACCAAGAGCCCGUGAGGAACAGUGGCUCGUCCAUGGAUGCAAGGCAAGUCCGGCAGGCCGGAGAAAGCACUCUCUGCCAGGGCCAGCCCACCCGACUCACGUCACCUGCUGCUCUUUCAGGAAGGCUGCCCCUCCUGACUCUCAGAAGGGAGGCACACAGGCAGGACAGCCUCCCACCACCCUGGGACAGGCCCACCUCCCGUGGAGGUCUCUCCCAUCACUGCUCCUCAAGACAGCCUCCCCUCCCCCAAUCCUGCCUGGCCUUCCCCUCCCUGCAACAACAGUUUAGCCAGAGACACAAGAGAUUUUUGGAGACAACUGCUUCAAACCUCUCAUCCCAGCUUCAUUGUCGCAUUCAGACCUGCCUUGUCCCAAAAAGAAUUCGCAGCAGUGCCCAGAAAUAAACAUGUAUAGCUAAAAAA